GCAGGAGUUUGAGCCCGCGAAUUCCUGGUGUGACACUAAUCCUUUAAGUUCUGCAUGUUUAUUGAAGAUUAUCGGCAGAGUGGAACGUUUGUUAGGGGAUAUCAACCUUUCGGUAAAUCCCUGGGUUCUACCGAUUUUCAUUUUUGUGGCACUGACAAUCUCGAACCCUGAGCCUGCAAUCCUUUGCGCUUCCACAGGUGAUUGCAGGCUCAUUUGUUCGAGAUUGUGAC
This is a non-coding RNA of Paramuricea clavata, 230 nucleotides long. The record is from the annotation of a GenBank genome assembly. Lineage: Eukaryota; Metazoa; Cnidaria; Anthozoa; Malacalcyonacea; Plexauridae.